This 79-nucleotide transfer RNA is filed under the name Cladonia leporina. RNAcentral describes it as "tRNA-Thr". The record is from RNAcentral. Lineage: Eukaryota; Fungi; Ascomycota; Lecanoromycetes; Lecanorales; Cladoniaceae.
AAAAUGAUAGUUCAAUUGGUUAAAACGUUAAUUUCGUGCAUUAAUAAUGUAAAUUCGAGUUUAUCUCCCGGUUAUUUUC